CCAUCGGCUCUUUUCAGAGCCAUUGACCAGAUCAUAAAAGAGAUUU
This is a non-coding RNA of Anopheles minimus, 46 nucleotides long. NCBI's taxonomy places the organism in Eukaryota, Metazoa, Arthropoda, Insecta, Diptera, Culicidae. The record is from Rfam.